Molecule: ribosomal RNA, 415 nt
Filed under: Escherichia coli
Lineage: Bacteria; Pseudomonadati; Pseudomonadota; Gammaproteobacteria; Enterobacterales; Enterobacteriaceae
Description: bacterial SSU rRNA
Rfam family: Bacterial small subunit ribosomal RNA
Source: RNAcentral
UUUGUUGCCAGCGGUCCGGCCGGGAACUCAAAGGAGACUGCCAGUGAUAAACUGGAGGAAGGUGGGGAUGACGUCAAGUCAUCAUGGCCCUUACGACCAGGGCUACACACGUGCUACAAUGGCGCAUACAAAGAGAAGCGACCUCGCGAGAGCAAGCGGACCUCAUAAAGUGCGUCGUAGUCCGGAUUGGAGUCUGCAACUCGACUCCAUGAAGUCGGAAUCGCUAGUAAUCGUGGAUCAGAAUGCCACGGUGAAUACGUUCCCGGGCCUUGUACACACCGCCCGUCACACCAUGGGAGUGGGUUGCAAAAGAAGUAGGUAGCUUAACCUUCGGGAGGGCGCUUACCACUUUGUGAUUCAUGACUGGGGUGAAGUCGUAACAAGGUAACCGUAGGGGAACCUGCGGUUGGAUCAC